GGCUUUGGUUUCUCUCCAUUUAGCGUCAGCUGCUGGUUUGGGGUCAGAGAACCCUCCUGGAAUUUUCUCUACUGAGUGCUCUGGCUUCAAUGGGGCCAUGUUUUGCGCUCCCAUUGGCUGCACUGGCCUGCUUCCUGCUUCCGGCGGGCUGCUGUGUCAUAUGUGACGCUCGUAUUCUUGCGGCUCUAAAGUCCCUGGAGACGGAUUACCUGCCUAAACUCAUGGGUCCUGAUGAAGUGAAUAGCACGUAUGCUAUGAUAGUGCGGACCGUGAAGGGAUUCUCGGAUCUACCAUAUACUAAGCAAACCUAUAUGGGGGCCAUUGGUGAGAAAAGAUAUGAAACAGUGAUCACGAGUUUCCUGAAGAAUCUGAAAAACAUCACAGAAAGUAAAACAAAAGGGAAGCAGAGCGUUGAGAACCUGAAAGAGAUGUUGCGCCUCGAAAAGAUAAACUUUGCAUUCCACGCUUCUAAGUUUCAAAAAGAAGGCGUCAUGUUUCAGACUUUGAUCUGGUGCGACUACUGCAGUAAGCAGGUUCAACUUUGUARGAAGAAGACCGAAGAAUGUGGGGAUCGUGUUGAGGAGAUCCAUGAACACGAAGCUUUAAACUUGAACUGUUUUCUCGAUUGGCACAAAGAAGCUGUUGGCCUCACGAACUACGUCUUUUACAGGGUGGGGCCCUCCAACUCCUGUAACCCUUAAACCCCAAGUCCCUCAGGUGGGUAUGACCCCCUGGUCCCUGGAUGCCCUGGCCUGCACCCAACCCUCGUGGCCUAUUAGGUGAGGUCCCUCCUGACUCCCAGGCACCCCAAGCCCUUUUCAUCUAUGCCCUGGAUUCCUGCUCCCGGCAUUGAGUCCCCCAACCCCUAAAUUCCCCAGGCCUCUGUGAUAUUCUUGAGCUUGGGUCUAGGUUUGGGAGAACAAUUCAGAGACCGUGCUGUACAGYGGGAAGGAUCCAGUCUUUAAUAGGCCCUCCGCGUCUGUGAACGAUAGUGGCAAGUACCGCUGUGAGCUGGGCACUGUUUACAACAGGCUUUCCACGAUCAUUCAUUUUCUUGUCACAGUGUUACCCCGUGACCUGGAGGGCUGGAAGCCAACGGGUGAAUUCGCCCCGCCUAAGACGGAGGGGGGGAAGAAGGAAGUAACCCCGAGCCCAGAACCGGAGACCACGACUGCCAAGCACCAGGAGGUUAAGAGUAUGCUGAAAGGGCGCAUCUAUGGCCUGCUUAUCUGCUUACUUAUAAUCCUGAUAGCAGCCAUUAUCUUCUGGUGAGUCACCCUGGAAGGAAGGCAGAGCUUAGAGGGAGAGGUGAGGCUUCAUAUUGUCCAAACUCAGCUUGCAGAGCCAUUGAGUGACUUCUUGAAG
Molecule: non-coding RNA, 1365 nt
Organism: Urocitellus parryii (Arctic ground squirrel)
Lineage: Eukaryota; Metazoa; Chordata; Mammalia; Rodentia; Sciuridae
Source: RefSeq, a predicted model, not a curated record